Molecule: ribosomal RNA, 387 nt
Filed under: Pythium sp.
Lineage: Eukaryota; Oomycota; Peronosporomycetes; Pythiales; Pythiaceae
Description: partial small subunit ribosomal RNA
Rfam family: Eukaryotic small subunit ribosomal RNA
Source: RNAcentral
AGCUCCAAUAGCGUAUAUUAAAGUUGUUGCAGUUAAAAAGCUCGUAGUUGGAUUUAAGUUUGUUUGUGCGUUGUGAUCGUGAGAUGACGAUGCAUUGAGCAGACAUUAUUUGGGACUUGGGGUUUCUUGGCAUUCAGUUGUUGAGAUUCAACUGCCCAUCGUUUACUGUGAAAAAAUUAGAGUGUUUAAAGCAGGGGUUUUUCCUUUGGAUAUAUUAGCAUGGAAUAAUAAUAUAUGACUCGUAUGGUCUAUUUUGUUGGUUUGCACAUAUGAGUAAUGAUUAAUAGGGACAGUUGGGGGUAUUCAUAUUUGAGCGUCAGAGGUGAAAUUCUUGGAUCGCUGAAAGAUGAGCUAAGGCGAAAGCAUUUACCAAGGAUGUUUUCAUUA